Molecule: ribosomal RNA, 433 nt
Filed under: uncultured bacterium
Lineage: Bacteria
Description: partial 16S ribosomal RNA
Rfam family: Bacterial small subunit ribosomal RNA
Source: RNAcentral
GGGGGGGGGGGGGGGGGGGGGUGGGGGGGGGGGGGCGGGGGGGGCGUUCGGGGGGGGGGGCGCACGGGUGCGGGACGCGGGGGAACCUGCCCUUAGGUUGGGAAUAACUCCCCGAGAGGGGUGCUAAUACCGGAUAAUGGCUUCGGCCCAAAGAUUUAUCGCCUUUGGAUGGGCCCGCGUUGGAUUAGCUAGUUGGUAGGGUAAAAGCAUACCAAGGCGACGAUCCAUAGCGGGUCUGAGAGGAUGAUCAGCCACACUGGGACUGAGACACGGCCCAGACUCCUACGGGAGGCAGCAGUGGGGAAUAUUGGACAAUGGGCGAAAGCCUGAUCCAGCAAUGCCGCGUGAGUGAUGAAGGCCUUAGGGUUGUAAAGCUCUUUUACCCGGGAUGAUAAUGACAGUACCGGGAGAAUAAGCUCCGGCUAACUCCGUG